This 773-nucleotide non-coding RNA is filed under the name Ixodes scapularis (black-legged tick). Its description in RNAcentral is "Eukaryotic small subunit ribosomal RNA". It matches the Rfam family "Eukaryotic small subunit ribosomal RNA", at positions 1181 to 1606 of the family's 1831-position model. The record is from Rfam by way of RNAcentral. Lineage: Eukaryota; Metazoa; Arthropoda; Arachnida; Ixodida; Ixodidae.
GGAUGUGGCGGACGCAUUCACGACGGUGUAUCGCAUUUUAAAUUUCUGGGAGGAUUGACAGAUUGAGAGCUCCUUCUUGACUCUGUGGAUGGUGGUGCAUGUCCGUUCUUAGUUGUUGGAGCGAUUUGUCUGAUUGAUUCCGACAUGCCUAUUAAAUAGGUCCGUGGUUCUCUGCAUCUUGCACCCUUCUUAGGGGAAAAGCGGGUUUAUACUUCGUGUCACCCUACGAUGAACUAAAGGCAAAUGCUACGGACCGCCAGAUCAGGUCACGAGCCCCUUAGACAUUGUGCGGUAUUUCGCAUCGAUGCACGUAUCGGAUCUCGCGUCUCGGAUCACUAAUCAGGAGAUGGGUGGACAGUGGCUCGAAUUGAAGAGCACUGAGGCUCUUAAGAAUUUUACAUCGCAAAGAAAGCCACGACAUAUAGGCUCUUUGCAGCAUGGAAGCUAUAAAAAUGAUACGGCGCUUUUAGGUACAGAGGAUUAUUCGCCCGCCCCUGAUGAAUGUUAAGUGUGUCAUAGUAUAGCGUGGAAUGGGAUUGGACCUGGCGGCCCGUAGCUUCGGCCUUUAGUCCGUCGUAGGAUGAGACACAGUAUAGCCGCACGAAACAGAGAAAUAACAGGUUUGUGAUGCCCCUAGAUGCUCGGGGCCGCACGUGCGCUACACUGAAGGAAGCAGCGUGUUUUUAUCCCUGUAUGUUAAAACAGUAAGCUUAGAAAAAAGUGACUAGGAAACACAGAGUGCUAAUUGAAGUCCAACGGAUUAUCUCCGAGAA